AGAAUCAACGCUGGCGGCGUGCCUAACACAUGCAAGUCGAACGAGAAAGUGGAGCAAUCCAUGAGUAAAGUGGCGCACGGGUGAGUAACACGUGACUAACCUACCCUUGAGUGGGGAAUAACUUCGGGAAACCGAGGCUAAUACCGCAUAACACCUACGGGUCAAAGGAGCAAUUCGCUUAAGGAGGGGGUCGCGGCAGAUUAGUUAGUUGGCGGGGUAAUGGCCCACCAAGACAGUGAUCUGUAUCCGGCCUGAGAGGGCGCACGGACACACUGGAACUGAAACACGGUCCAGACUCCUACGGGAGGCAGCAGUGGGAAUUUUGCGCAAUGGGGGAAACCCUGACGCAGCAACGCCGCGUGGAGGAUGAAGUCUCUUGGGACGUAAACUCCUUUCGAUCGGGACGAUAAUGACGGUACCGAGAGAAGAGCCCCGGCUAACUUCGCGCCAGCAGCCGC
RNAcentral lists this ribosomal RNA (458 nucleotides) under uncultured bacterium. RNAcentral describes it as "SSU rRNA". It matches the Rfam family "Bacterial small subunit ribosomal RNA", at positions 26 to 518 of the family's 1533-position model. The record is from RNAcentral.